UACGUAGGGUGCAGGCGUUAAUCGGAAUUACUGGGCGUAAAGCGUGCGCAGGCGGUUUCUUAAGUCAGAUGUGAAAGCCCCGGGCUUAACCUGGGAACUGCGUUUGAAACUGGGAGACUUGAGUGUGGCAGAGGGGGGUGGAAUUCCACGUGUAGCAGUGAAAUGCGUAGAUAUGUGGAGGAACACCGAUGGCGAAGGCGGCUCUCUGGGACGGUACUGACGCUGAGACGCGAAAGCGUGGGGAGCGAACAGG
Molecule: ribosomal RNA, 253 nt
Filed under: uncultured bacterium
Lineage: Bacteria
Description: partial 16S ribosomal RNA
Rfam family: Bacterial small subunit ribosomal RNA
Source: RNAcentral